GUCUACGGCCAUACCACCCUGAACGCGCCCGAUCUCGUCUGAUCUCGGAAGCUAAGCAGGGUUGGGCCUGGUUAGUACUUGGAUGGGAGAAUAACUAAACAAUUCAAGAUAGGAUUUGAUC
Ribosomal RNA from Neogale vison (American mink), 121 nucleotides. The record is from Ensembl. Lineage: Eukaryota; Metazoa; Chordata; Mammalia; Carnivora; Mustelidae.